UGAAAAUGCAGAACAUAAUAGCACUUUUCAUCGUGUAAAAGAGAGUUUGAAUUAACAUAUCGAAUUUUGGAAAAAUAUUGGCGCUAGUGAUUUUGUCAUUAACACUAUAAAAGGCGGUUACAUUAUACCGUUUUUAGAAACGCCUUAACAGUUGCACUGUAAGGACAACAAAUCUGCAUUUAUGAAUGAGAAAUUUGUGGAUGAAGAUUUUUCUGAAUAAGUAGGUCCUGAGUGUGCUACGUUAGUCCCUUUUAGGCCUUU
This 261-nucleotide long non-coding RNA is filed under the name Mytilus galloprovincialis (Mediterranean mussel). Lineage: Eukaryota; Metazoa; Mollusca; Bivalvia; Mytilida; Mytilidae. The record is from RNAcentral.